This 70-nucleotide transfer RNA is filed under the name Candidatus Auribacterota bacterium. Its description in RNAcentral is "tRNA-Cys". It matches the Rfam family "tRNA". Rfam says of the family: Transfer RNA (tRNA) molecules are approximately 80 nucleotides in length. Lineage: Bacteria; Pseudomonadati; Candidatus Auribacterota. The record is from RNAcentral.
GGCGUACCCAAGUGGUUAAGGGAGAGGUCUGCAAAACCUUUAUUUAGCGGUUCGAUUCCGCUCAACGCCU